This 114-nucleotide non-coding RNA is filed under the name Chromera velia. The record is from RNAcentral. Lineage: Eukaryota; Chromeraceae.
GAAGGAAAGAAAGAAAGAGAGGGCGAGACAAAGAAACAGAACAAGAGAGAAAAAAACUGACAUUUCGAACGAGUCGACCUUCAUGCCUCCUUCUUUCUGCCUGAUUUUCUCAUA